AGCCCCGAGGUGCAUAAGACACAUCAGAUUGCAAACCUGAAGGAGCCAGCUGAAUUCUGGCCGGGGCUU
Molecule: transfer RNA, 69 nt
Filed under: Anisotremus scapularis
Lineage: Eukaryota; Metazoa; Chordata; Actinopteri; Lutjaniformes; Haemulidae
Description: tRNA-Cys
Rfam family: tRNA
About the family: Transfer RNA (tRNA) molecules are approximately 80 nucleotides in length. Their secondary structure includes four short double-helical elements and three loops (D, anti-codon, and T loops).
Source: RNAcentral